RNAcentral lists this ribosomal RNA (726 nucleotides) under Umbelopsis sp. RNAcentral describes it as "partial large subunit ribosomal RNA". It matches the Rfam family "Eukaryotic large subunit ribosomal RNA", at positions 24 to 664 of the family's 3401-position model. The record is from RNAcentral. Lineage: Eukaryota; Fungi; Mucoromycota; Umbelopsidomycetes; Umbelopsidales; Umbelopsidaceae.
CCCGCCGGAAUUAAGCAUAUCAAUAAGCGGAGGAAAAGAAACUAACAAGGAUUCCCCCUAGUAACGGCGAGUGAAGCGGGAAGAGCUCAAAUUUAAAAUCUGGUUUGCUUGCAAAUCCGAGUUGUAGUCUGAAGAAACGUUUUCCUUGAAAGCUGAGGCACAAGUCCUUUGGAACAGGGCAUCAUAGAGGGUGAGAAUCCCGUCCAUGGUCUCAAGCAUUUCAUUUUGUGAUACGUUUUCUAAGAGUCAGGUUGUUUGGGAAUGCAGCCUAAAAUGGGUGGUAAAUUUCAUCUAAAGCUAAAUAUUGGCGAGAGACCGAUAGCGAACAAGUACCGUGAGGGAAAGAUGAAAAGAACUUUGAAAAGAGAGUUAAAAAGUACGUGAAAUUGUUGAAAGGGAACCGUUUGAAGCCAGUCUUGCUUGCUUGUGAUCAAUCUUAGCUUCGGCUUGGAUGCACUCUCAGGCUAUGCAGGUCAACGUCAGUUUGAAAGGUGAGAAAAAAGCUUGAGGAAUGUGGCCUUCGGGUGUUAUAGCCUCUUGUUAAAUACCAUCUUUUGGACUGAGGCUCGCAGCAAAAACGUGGGUUAGUUUGCUCCUGAGGUGAAGCUUUAUUAAGACAGCUUGCUGACUUAGUUUAGUGGAUCUUUACGGUGGAUUGACUUCUAAUUUGCUNNNUAGGUCGUUGACGUAAUGGCUUUAAAUGACCCGUCUGGAAAANCACNGGAA